CAAUUAUUUUGUUAGGUAAUCAUUGAGUGCCCCGUGGCAGUCGUUCGCUCAUUCGUUCACCCAGCGAACAUUCACUGAGGGCCUUGCUUAGCCCGCGCGCCGUGCUGGGAGUUGGGGUGAUGGCAGCGAACAAGGCAAGCACAGCCCAGCUCCCUGUCUAGCUGGAAGUCACUGCCUCACCAAAUCAGCGAUGCAGUGUAGCCCCUGAAAUGCGUGGUCCUAAAGGGAGCAGGAUGGCUUCCUAGGAGCUGUGCCAAAGCUUAGCCAUCCAAACAGGAGUUCCCGCUUCAGAGCACUCGUUUCAGAGGCAUCAAUCUUAGGAGUUUAUUCUUAAAAUAUUUUUGCAACAGUUCUUUGGGACUAGCCACCACGGAGACUAUUAAAAGAAUUUUCUUUAGUCUCUGAAGGCUCUUCCAAAAGAGGAGUUCUAAAACCCUUUUGGGCAAUAAGUUCUUUGCAACACAUACCUAGCAUUCUUGAGGGGAAAGAGCUGUUAUUUGUCAUGUCUAUGCUCUGUACUACACCACUUUUAUGAUUUCUUCAGCUUAGGUCCCUUAAAGAUUUUAAUGCAGUGGUUUUCAACGGGGAGGCACUUUUGCCCCGCCAGGGGAUAUUCGGCAAGGCUGGAGACAUUUUUGGUUGUCACAACUUGAGCGGAGGGUGCUACUGGUGUCUCGGGGCUAGAGGCCAGGAUGCUGCUAACAUCCUACAGCGCACGGGACAGCCCCCACAGCACAGAGUUAUCCUGCCUCAAAUGUUGACGGUGCUCAGGUUGAGAAGCUCUGGUUUCAAUGGGAUGUUUGUUAAAAAAGUCGGUCUCAGGACUCUGCCCGCUACAAUUUCCCAGAAGGUGCCCCGGGAAGCGGGAACACUGAAGGGUCCAUUUGUGAAAGGGCCUCUGUUGGUGCCUCAGAGGCUCACUUGUUAAGAAGAUGUUCAGAGCAGGGCCUUGGCGAUCCGCAGGUCUGGGUGGACAUCUUGCUCUUGUACUUGCUAGCCAGGUGAGUGUGGGUGAUUUAUUUAACCUCACCGAGCCUCAGUUUCCCCAUCUGUAGUAGAGGAGUAAUAAUGCCUAUUUCCUAGGGUUUCUGUAGAUAUCCCCUGAGGUCAUGCACGGCAUGAGCUUAGUUCAGUCAGUGCUCCACAGGGAGGGGCUAGUACGGACUGUGACCUGAGAAUGAGUGUUUGUGCCUCACAAUGACCCUGAAUAUCAGCAAAUAUUUACUGAAGACCCGCGAAGCACCAAGCCCAUUGUUCGACUGUGGGGUCUCUGCACACAAGAAGUAGAUAGUCUGGAGUAAGAGGAAGAUAAAAGACACAUCUUCAUGAAGAGGAAACCAGCACCAUAUGACUGCAUUUGACAUGCUGCAAAAAAAAAAAAAGUCAACAUGGAGACCAUCUUUGAAGUGGAGGAUGUGAAGUACGAGCAACAGGGAUGGGAUCUGGGACGGCUGCUGACAGUGAGACACUUCUAAAGAUACACCUGGGGGACGUGUGAGAGAACCGCCUGCCUAUGGGGCCAGGGACUCCAAACCACACCCGGCUGCCUCCAGGACAGAGGAGAUCAAGAUCUCAGUUUUCAGGACACCUACUGGAAAGCUCUGGGUCGAGCUGCAGAAGGCAGAGUGCUGAACAACCUAGCAGAGUCAGCAUCUGAGGAGUACUUAAAAGAAAAUCACACUUUGGAGUGUGCUUCUGGAAUUUCUGGCUUAUUGGACAUCAACCCCUGUGAUCAGGCUACC
Molecule: long non-coding RNA, 1742 nt
Filed under: Equus caballus (horse)
Lineage: Eukaryota; Metazoa; Chordata; Mammalia; Perissodactyla; Equidae
Description: lncRNA (ENSECAG00000055065.1)
Source: RNAcentral